This 474-nucleotide ribosomal RNA is filed under the name uncultured bacterium. RNAcentral's name for it is "partial 16S ribosomal RNA". It matches the Rfam family "Bacterial small subunit ribosomal RNA", at positions 28 to 507 of the family's 1533-position model. The record is from RNAcentral.
GACGAACGCUGGCGGCGUGCUUAACACAUGCAAGUCGAGCGGUAAGGCUCCUUCGGGCGUCCACGAGCGGCGAACGGGUGAGUAACACGUGAGUAAUCUGCCCUUCACUUCGGGAUAACCACCGGAAACGGUGGCUAAUACCGAAUACGACCAGUCUUCGCAUGAGGUGCUGGUGGAAAGUCUUUUCGGUGAAGGAUGUGCUCGCGGCCUAUCAGCUUGUUGGUGGGGUAAUGGCCUACCAAGGCUUCGACGGGUAGCCGGCCUGAGAGGGUGACCGGCCACACUGGGACUGAGACACGGCCCAGACUCCUACGGGAGGCAGCAGUGGGGAAUAUCGGACAAUGGGCGAAAGCCUGAUCCAGCAACGCCGCGUGAGGGAUGACGGCCUUCGGGUUGUAAACCUCUUUCAGUACCGACGAAGCGCCCUGUCGGGUGGUGACGGUAGGUACAGAAGAAGGACCGGCCAACUACGUG